GUGGCAGACGGGUGAGUAAUACGUGAACAAUCUUCCCUCUAGCGGGGGAUAACCUUGGGAAACCAGGGCUAAUACCGCGUGAGACCACGUCCCGACAUCGGGACGAGGCUAAAGCUCCGCAAGGGGCGCUUGAGGAGGAGUUCACGGACUAUCAGCUAGUUGGCGGGGUAACGGCCCACCAAGGCUACGACGGUUAAGCGGUCUGAAAGGACGAUCGCUCACAAUGGCACUGAGACACGGGCCAUACUCC
This 250-nucleotide ribosomal RNA is filed under the name uncultured bacterium. RNAcentral's name for it is "partial 16S ribosomal RNA". It matches the Rfam family "Bacterial small subunit ribosomal RNA", at positions 95 to 339 of the family's 1533-position model. The record is from RNAcentral.